GAUGACCCGGCCGCCGCCGCCGCCCUGCAACCGCUCCCCGGGACCCCUCAACGCUGACACUGAUGACCCGCGGCGGGGGCGCUGGGCGCGGGGUGCGCAGGCCACUGGCCGCGGGCUCUCGGGCCCGCUCCUGCCGCCGGCUUCUGCUGCUUCCGCGUGCCGUGGACACUGCCAGAAUUUGUCAAAGGUCCUAGGAAGAAAAGGCUCUUUCACCCCUCCCCUCAAUGAACAGAUGGCGUGUUUGGACUGUUCGCAUUCGCUCCUCAUAGGUGGGAUCCUGGAGGAAGUUAAGGGGUGCUCCGUUCCCUGGGGAUGGGACAGCAGCUCGCCUUUUUACUAAUAGCUAUAAGGGACUGUCAGACAUUUACCUGACUAGACCUUCACCUCAGAGCUCAGAAGGGGAACAGCUCCAGAACUAAAAGAGAGAGCCUCUGGCAGACCCCAAAAGACAGCAUGUGGAGUGAAGCUGGGCUUCCCUGCCCAAUCACUAGGAUCAUUUAUUGCACAAAUACCUGUAUUUUAAGCUGCAGAUUAUUGUGAAUUUUUGUAUUUUCUUCAUUUCCAUUUAGCUUUUUUUCAAUUUUAGAAUAGCCUUUCUCUAGAUAACUCGAGGAAGUGGGAGACGGAAUUUCCUUUGUUUCUGUCUUGAGCCCAAAGGGACAAUUGAGUGUCAGGUAUGACAGGGAUAAAGGG
Molecule: long non-coding RNA, 693 nt
Organism: Homo sapiens (human)
Lineage: Eukaryota; Metazoa; Chordata; Mammalia; Primates; Hominidae
Product: long intergenic non-protein coding RNA 900
Source: Ensembl